GUUGUUUUUGAGCAAAAGUCUUAAUAUUUCCCUCGCACAUUACUUGUUUUACAACGCCGGUUUGCUUCGCUUGUGGAUGCAGCACUUUACUACAGAGAAACUAAAAAGAAAGACUAUAAAUUCUUUCAGGUAAGAUUCACAAAACUUUUUUGUAUUAAACUUUCUAGACGACAAGCUAGUCUGAGACUCUGAGACACUCAGUCCACUAGACCCUUCAUAUUAUGUCAAAAACUCAUCCUAUUAAUAUAUACAGCAAAUAUUUCAUACAUAAAAAUAUUGUUAAUGAUUAAAUAUUGUGUACUACAUGAAAUUAUGUUGUUUUCAGUGUCAGCACUGGCCUGCCCUUUGUGGUUUUAAUAUUGCCAGACUGCCAGUUUUUAAUUACUUGUAUAAAUUGUGGUUGUUUACAUGUUCAUAAAGGUUUAAUAUGGUGUGAAAUUUAUAUACUUGCCCAUCAUAACGCAGAAUUAGUAUAUAUAGAUAAGCACAAGACUAGAGAGACUUGAGUAGAGGAGGCCCACCUACAUUUGACAAUGUGCCCUGUCCUAGCUGAUGAGCCCUAUAUAAAAGACAGUCUUUAUUAUUUUACUCUGUUUGUCUAAUGCCAGAUGAUAUUAAGAGGAGACCGCUCACUGCUGCCUCGCAGUGGGUCAAUUUAAUACACUAUCUGCCAAUGAGCAGCCCCUGAGAUAUAUAGUCAGCCCAUUAAGAUGCAAUGCACCCAAAUGAACCAGCUACUUUCUUACUGGGACUGCAGAACAGGGGGGCCAUGCCCCCCCCCCCACUUUUUCAGUGGAUAAAAAUUACUGGAUAAAAUCUGGACAGCCUGCCUAUGUGAAAUAGCUCCUGACUCAUGCUAUCCUGUCCCCCCCCCCCCCACACACACACACCUUUAAACAGGCUCCACAGUCCCUGUUUUAUUUUACUCUAUCGGUGAGACUAAAUCCAGUUGUUUUAUUCAUCAAGAGAAGAGUCUUAAAAAAUAGAUAACAUUUUACAUUACAUAAUUUGUCUAUUCAGAACUAUUAAAACUUUGUAGUUUUACACGUAGUAUAUGAUCUCAUAGUUACUUGCAAGAACAUACAAAUUUCUAACAUUGGAGAAGGUGAUGUGCGAUUGCUCUGUGAGAAAUUAUGACAAAAUUUGCUAAUAAUAGUUUGACAUAUUUUAGCAGUUAGUUGGGAAUGUAAUUGCAUUGCUGAAUAUGGAAACAUGACACUUAAUUUAGAAGCUCAGAUUAAUGAUCUUGGUAAAAACAGAUCAUGUAAUUGCACUCUCCCCUUGACUAGUAAAAUUGUCUGACAUAAUACAGUAAGACAAAAAUAAAACAGUGAGGCACAUCAAAACACAUUGCCACUUGAAGGGUUAACAUAUGUGUAUAUGAUAUUUUGUGGUGUAAAGAUGUAUAAUGUAUCAUGAUAAUGUCGUCUUUUUUUUGCAGAAAUGAUCUGUUUAAUAUACAAAAGAGAUGGCACAGGCAUCAACAUGCAGAAGAACAUGCAGAACAAUUACAAAAUGAAGUUAUAAUUAUAAUACCAUGCAUAACAAUUAAUUAUAAUUAAUAAAUAAUUAUAUGAUUAUCAUAACUUUAUUGAAGUGUAAAUAAGUUUUAUAGCAAUUAAACUUAUACAUUUUUGUUUUUUAAAUUGUUUACUGCUAACAAUUUUACAAAAAGACACCUUACACCCUUCCAGAAUGUAUGUCAUUUUGGCUAUGGAGCCUUGUUUUCAUGUAUGUGGCAUGAGUUUUAGUCCAAUGUCUCAAUCAUGAAAAUGACUCUAUAGCCAAGGUGAC
This 1794-nucleotide long non-coding RNA is filed under the name Paramuricea clavata. Lineage: Eukaryota; Metazoa; Cnidaria; Anthozoa; Malacalcyonacea; Plexauridae. The record is from RNAcentral.